This 120-nucleotide ribosomal RNA is filed under the name Misgurnus anguillicaudatus (oriental weatherfish). Lineage: Eukaryota; Metazoa; Chordata; Actinopteri; Cypriniformes; Cobitidae. The record is from RNAcentral.
GCUUACGGCCACACCACCCUGAGCACGCCCGCUCUCGUCUGAUCUCGGAAGCCAAGCAGGGUCGGGCCUGGUUAGUACUUGGAUGGGAGACCGCCUGGGAAUACCAGGUGCUCUAAGCAU